This 640-nucleotide ribosomal RNA is filed under the name Pseudomonas sp. EECC-674. Its description in RNAcentral is "bacterial SSU rRNA". It matches the Rfam family "Bacterial small subunit ribosomal RNA", at positions 84 to 720 of the family's 1533-position model. The record is from RNAcentral. Lineage: Bacteria; Pseudomonadati; Pseudomonadota; Gammaproteobacteria; Pseudomonadales; Pseudomonadaceae.
CUCUGGAUUCAGCGGCGGACGGGUGAGUAAUGCCUAGGAAUCUGCCUGGUAGUGGGGGACAACGUUUCGAAAGGAACGCUAAUACCGCAUACGUCCUACGGGAGAAAGCAGGGGACCUUCGGGCCUUGCGCUAUCAGAUGAGCCUAGGUCGGAUUAGCUAGUUGGUGAGGUAAUGGCUCACCAAGGCGACGAUCCGUAACUGGUCUGAGAGGAUGAUCAGUCACACUGGAACUGAGACACGGUCCAGACUCCUACGGGAGGCAGCAGUGGGGAAUAUUGGACAAUGGGCGAAAGCCUGAUCCAGCCAUGCCGCGUGUGUGAAGAAGGUCUUCGGAUUGUAAAGCACUUUAAGUUGGGAGGAAGGGUUGUAGAUUAAUACUCUGCAAUUUUGACGUUACCGACAGAAUAAGCACCGGCUAACUCUGUGCCAGCAGCCGCGGUAAUACAGAGGGUGCAAGCGUUAAUCGGAAUUACUGGGCGUAAAGCGCGCGUAGGUGGUUCGUUAAGUUGGAUGUGAAAUCCCCGGGCUCAACCUGGGAACUGCAUCCAAAACUGGCGAGCUAGAGUAUGGUAGAGGGUGGUGGAAUUUCCUGUGUAGCGGUGAAAUGCGUAGAUAUAGGAAGGAACACCAGUGGCGAAG